GGACCCGUGAUCCGGGUUGCGGACAGUGUCUGGUGGGUAGUUUGACUGGGGCGGUCUCCUCCUAAAGAGUAACGGAGGAGCACGAAGGUUGGCUAAUCCUGGUCGGACAUCAGGAGGUUAGUGCAAUGGCAUAAGCCAGCUUGACUGCGAGCGUGACGGCGCGAGCAGGUGCGAAAGCAGGUCAUAGUGAUCCGGUGGUUCUGAAUGGAAGGGCCAUCGCUCAACGGAUAAAAGGUACUCCGGGGAUAACAGGCUGAUACCGCCCAAGAGUUCAUAUCGACGGCGGUGUUUGGCACCUCGAUGUCGGCUCAUCACAUCCUGGGGCUGAAGUAGGUCCCAAGGGUAUGGCUGUUCGCCAUUUAAAGUGGUACGCGAGCUGGGUUUAGAACGUCGUGAGACAGUUCGGUCCCUAUCUGCCGUGGGCGCUGGAGAACUGAGGGGGGCUGCUCCUAGUACGAGAGGACCGGAGUGGACGCAUCACUGGUGUUCGGGUUGUCAUGCCAAUGGCACUGCCCGGUAGCUAAAUGCGGAAGAGAUAAGUGCUGAAAGCAUCUAAGCACGAAACUUGCCCCGAGAUGAGUUCUCCCUGACUCCUUGAGAGUCCUGAAGGAACGUUGAAGACGACGACGUUGAUAGGCCGGGUGUGUAAG
RNAcentral lists this ribosomal RNA (650 nucleotides) under Escherichia coli. Its description in RNAcentral is "partial 23S ribosomal RNA". It matches the Rfam family "Bacterial large subunit ribosomal RNA", at positions 2229 to 2873 of the family's 2925-position model. Lineage: Bacteria; Pseudomonadati; Pseudomonadota; Gammaproteobacteria; Enterobacterales; Enterobacteriaceae. The record is from RNAcentral.